This is a small nucleolar RNA of Otolemur garnettii (small-eared galago), 86 nucleotides long. Lineage: Eukaryota; Metazoa; Chordata; Mammalia; Primates; Galagidae. The record is from Ensembl.
CUCCUCUUGUAGUUCAUGGGCAUGACCAUGGGGUUUUCACACUCACGUGUGAGAUGUGCCUCUCUCAAAACACUACCUGACUGACA